RNAcentral lists this transfer RNA (59 nucleotides) under Rhacodactylus trachyrhynchus (tough-snouted giant gecko). Its description in RNAcentral is "tRNA-Cys". The record is from RNAcentral. Lineage: Eukaryota; Metazoa; Chordata; Lepidosauria; Squamata; Diplodactylidae.
AGCCCUGUAGUGAAUGACACGUCAAAUUGCAAAUUUGAAGACGCUACCUUUAUAUUUGG